This 443-nucleotide ribosomal RNA is filed under the name uncultured bacterium. Its description in RNAcentral is "partial 16S ribosomal RNA". It matches the Rfam family "Bacterial small subunit ribosomal RNA", at positions 338 to 795 of the family's 1533-position model. The record is from RNAcentral.
CCUACGGGAGGCAGCAGUGGGGAAUAUUGGGCAAUGGAGGAAACUCUGACCCAGCAACGCCGCGUGAAUGAUGAAGGUCUUCGGAUUGUAAAGUUCUUUUCUAAGGGAAGAAGAAAGUGACGGUACCUUAGUAAUAAGCCUCGGCUAACUACGUGCCAGCAGCCGCGGUAAUACGUAGGAGGCGAGCGUUAUCCGGAAUGACUGGGCGUACAGGGUGCGUAGGUGGUUUGGCAAGUUAGUAGCGUAACUCCAAGGCUCAACCUUGGAACUACUACUAAAACUGGUGGACUUGAGUGCAGGAGGGGCAACAGGAAGUCCUAGUGUAGCGGUGGAAUGCGUAGAUAUUAGGAGGAACACCAGUUGCGAAGGCGGGUUGCUAGACUGUAACUGACACUGAGGCACGAAAGCGUGGGGAGCAAACAGGAUUAGAUACCCCAGUAGUC